AGAAAACCCCUUUCCUUCAGAAGGGAAAGCAAAUGUUGAUCCAUGUCAUUGUUAGAAAAGCAACAACUUGAUUGAGUAAUCAAGUUACUGGUUGAAUUAUACAAUAAUUGCCCACUGUCACCAAGAACCAAAGAUUUACUUGCACACGCCACCGGAGAAGGAUCUUCAAUUGGGCCAGAGGAAUUUAUUAAUUUCAAAAGGUUCUUGAGGAGAUUUUUAGCACUGGUAAGUAUAUCCACCAAUGUGGCACUGGUAGCCUGACCAGAGCCAGAAAGACCUCCCAGGACAGACAAUAUGGAACACUCGUAUCUGGAGGAAACUUCAUAAAAGCGCAAACGAUGAAGUAUAUAAGUGGCA
This 357-nucleotide unclassified non-coding RNA is filed under the name Hevea brasiliensis (rubber tree). The record is from RNAcentral. Lineage: Eukaryota; Viridiplantae; Streptophyta; Magnoliopsida; Malpighiales; Euphorbiaceae.